UGCAUAUCGCCCCGUCCAUCCCCAGAGAAUUCUCUUGAAGACUAAGUGGAAAAGAGAUGGAGACACACGGUGCCAUGGCAACUCCAGGUGGGAGUUGACCCUGGAGACAGGUGUCUACGAGUGGCCAGAUUGUCCCACGCAAGUGCGCUGGAGGAUGUAAGGCCAUAAAUGCAAGAUGUGAGUGACUUCUGACUGAAGCUAAGCACACUCAACAAACCCAGCUGCAGUGGAAUGUGGACUAUAAUAAGUCUGAUUGUUUAUAUUCAGAAGGAAAUAGCUACAGAAGAAAUCAGGAGCAUUUUAUUCCAUCAGGGAGGACCCAGCAGAGAACUCUGCUGCUCCAGGAUGCAGGCCCUGGGCAACCAUUCAAGGAUGGCACCCAAGAUGGGACAGAGCUGCUCUGGAAAGGUCUCUGGCCAGCAGUGUGAGAGGAUGGACUGAGGUGGAGGCUACCACAGGGAUGGAGGAGUCUUAGAACCUGCUCCAAAUGAAGUAUGGAUAUUAUGUCCAGAUGCUACCCAGGGGCUGAAUCAUGGGAAUCAGGGAAGAACAGACAGAGAACUUCAAUUCACAGCAUUCGUCCAGGCCACCUCUGUAUAAAUGUUCUCAAAUUCUAGAGUGCUUCCAUCCCUCUGGGACUUUUAUGGCAUUUUAUAAGUUGUAUUUAACUUCUAGGUGAAAUAGGGAUGUGGCACUGAGGAUCAACUACAGAGAGAGGUAAAGAAGAGCAUGUGGCCAGAGAAGAGAUUUUUGGCUUCAUUCAGAAUAAUUUACUUUUAUUUUUAUUUUUAGUAAAGAUGGCAUCUUGCCAUAUGUUUGCCAGGUUGGUCUUGAACUCCUGGCCUUAAAGAAUCUCCCCACCUUCCAGAUUGCUAGGAUUAUAGGAAGGAGCCACUGUGCCUGGCCCCCGAAUAAUUUCUGAGCACUACCUAGUCUGCUUUAAGCAAAACUAAAAGUUGGCUAUUUUGUCAUGUGCUAAAAAUGCAGGAGGCGCUCACAGAG
Molecule: long non-coding RNA, 1002 nt
Filed under: Homo sapiens (human)
Lineage: Eukaryota; Metazoa; Chordata; Mammalia; Primates; Hominidae
Description: HSALNT0384251
Source: RNAcentral